This 936-nucleotide ribosomal RNA is filed under the name Staphylococcus aureus. RNAcentral's name for it is "partial 23S ribosomal RNA". It matches the Rfam family "Bacterial large subunit ribosomal RNA", at positions 624 to 1561 of the family's 2925-position model. Lineage: Bacteria; Bacillati; Bacillota; Bacilli; Caryophanales; Staphylococcaceae. The record is from RNAcentral.
CGAGUUACGAUUUGAUGCAAGGUUAAGCAGUAAAUGUGGAGCCGUAGCGAAAGCGAGUCUGAAUAGGGCGUUUAGUAUUUGGUCGUAGACCCGAAACCAGGUGAUCUACCCUUGGUCAGGUUGAAGUUCAGGUAACACUGAAUGGAGGACCGAACCGACUUACGUUGAAAAGUGAGCGGAUGAACUGAGGGUAGCGGAGAAAUUCCAAUCGAACCUGGAGAUAGCUGGUUCUCUCCGAAAUAGCUUUAGGGCUAGCCUCAAGUGAUGAUUAUUGGAGGUAGAGCACUGUUUGGACGAGGGGCCCCUCUCGGGUUACCGAAUUCAGACAAACUCCGAAUGCCAAUUAAUUUAACUUGGGAGUCAGAACAUGGGUGAUAAGGUCCGUGUUCGAAAGGGAAACAGCCCAGACCACCAGCUAAGGUCCCAAAAUAUAUGUUAAGUGGAAAAGGAUGUGGCGUUGCCCAGACAACUAGGAUGUUGGCUUAGAAGCAGCCAUCAUUUAAAGAGUGCGUAAUAGCUCACUAGUCGAGUGACACUGCGCCGAAAAUGUACCGGGGCUAAACAUAUUACCGAAGCUGUGGAUUGUCCUUUGGACAAUGGUAGGAGAGCGUUCUAAGGGCGUUGAAGCAUGAUCGUAAGGACAUGUGGAGCGCUUAGAAGUGAGAAUGCCGGUGUGAGUAGCGAAAGACGGGUGAGAAUCCCGUCCACCGAUUGACUAAGGUUUCCAGAGGAAGGCUCGUCCGCUCUGGGUUAGUCGGGUCCUAAGCUGAGGCCGACAGGCGUAGGCGAUGGAUAACAGGUUGAUAUUCCUGUACCACCUAUAAUCGUUUUAAUCGAUGGGGGGACGCAGUAGGAUAGGCGAAGCGUGCGAUUGGAUUGCACGUCUAAGCAGUAAGGCUGAGUAUUAGGCAAAUCCGGUACUCGUUAAGGCUGAGC